This 555-nucleotide long non-coding RNA is filed under the name Parus major (Great Tit). RNAcentral's name for it is "lncRNA (ENSPMJG00000018887.1)". The record is from RNAcentral. Lineage: Eukaryota; Metazoa; Chordata; Aves; Passeriformes; Paridae.
ACACCAACGAGGAUCUUGGUGGGUGCUCUUGUUUGUUUUGUUUUAAGAAUCUGUUUAUUACUAGUUUCCAUAUUUGAUUCCUUUGUUGCUUUGACAGGAAUUUCUUCCAGAAAGUCGACAGGAACACUGAAGCAGGAAACAGAUGAUCCUAACUACUAUCAGUUUAAUACUCCAGCAGGCCCUUCCAAAACAUCAGAGACAGAUGAAAAAAUUCCUCCUGGAAUAAGUUACACAGAUUCCUCCCAGCAGGAUGCAUCAGAAACAAGUGAGGAUUCUGAGGCUGAAUUCACUAGUGGAGCUGCUGAUGAUGAUGAUGAUUACUUACAUCCAGACAAUAGACUGCAGAGCACCACGCCAGCUAAUGAAGCUGCCGAUACUGAAAGACAACCAGAAGAGUUCAGUUUUGGUAAGAUGAAAAUUAAAGGUGAUUUUAUCUCCCUGCUUUCUGUUAUGGAAAGGUUUUGGGUAAAUUUUUACUGCAAAAAAAUUCAGUAUGGUAACAAAAAUAACUGUCACAUCAACUGAUUAUUUAGAACCAUUUUGAGAGAAUUAGAG